AGAAUUAAUUUAUGACUGUACUGCUUAGUUCCCACACUACUGGACAAGGCAAUGAGGGAAGAAGAGAAAAAAGAUGUGUAUACAAAACCCCCACCAUUUUCAUGUGACAAAAGUUCUUAUUCAGAAGUCUCUUUAGGACAUUGCUUAAGACAUGGUUUGAAAGUAAUUUCUGGAAACAGAAAAGAAAGAAAGAAUAACAGAUGCAGAAAAGAUCCAGAAAGAGAAAACCCAUUUAAAGGAGUGAGAAGAGAGAAGGAUGUGGAAUAUCAUAAUAACCAAAAGAAAGGAACUUCAAAAAUAAAUGAGUAGAUAGAUAUAGUGGGCAUUUAGGAAAAGAAAAAUCAG
Molecule: long non-coding RNA, 345 nt
Filed under: Bos taurus (domestic cattle)
Lineage: Eukaryota; Metazoa; Chordata; Mammalia; Artiodactyla; Bovidae
Description: long non-coding RNA NONBTAT001292
Source: RNAcentral